This 425-nucleotide ribosomal RNA is filed under the name uncultured bacterium. RNAcentral's name for it is "bacterial SSU rRNA". It matches the Rfam family "Bacterial small subunit ribosomal RNA", at positions 358 to 776 of the family's 1533-position model. The record is from RNAcentral.
GGAAUCUUCCGCAAUGGGCGAAAGCCUGACGGAGCAACGCCGCGUGAUCGAAUGAAGGCCUUCGGGUUGUAAAGAUCUGUUGACAGGGACGAAUAAGCAAUGCGAAUAGUUUUGUGUAUGACGGUACCUGUUUAGAAAGCUCCGGCUAACUACGUGCCAGCAGCCGCGGUAAUACGUAGGUGGCAAGCGUUAUCCGGAUUUACUGGGUGUAAAGGGCGUGUAGGCGGGACUGCAAGUCAGAUGUGAAAACCAUGGGCUCAACCCAUGGCCUGCAUUUGAAACUGUAGUUCUUGAGUGUUGGAGAGGCAGGCGGAAUUCCGUGUGUAGCGGUGAAAUGCGUAGAUAUACGGAGGAACACCAGUGGCGAAGGCGGCCUGCUGGACAAUAACUGACGCUGAGGCGCGAAAGCGUGGGGAGCAAACAGG